CUACGGAGGGUGCAAGCGUUAUUCUGAAUCACUGGGCGUAAAGGACGCGUAGGCGGGUUGGCAAGUCAGAUGUGAAAUCCUACAGCUUAACUGUAGAACUGCAUUUGAAACUGCUAACCUAGAGUAUGGGAGGGGGAGAUGGAAUUAGUGGUGUAGGGGUAAAAUCCGUAGAUAUCACUAGGAAUACCGAAAGCGAAGGCGAUCUCCUGGAACAUAACUGACGCUAAGGCGUGAAAGCGUGGGGAGCAAACAGGAUUAGAAACCCUAGUAGUCC
RNAcentral lists this ribosomal RNA (274 nucleotides) under uncultured bacterium. Its description in RNAcentral is "partial 16S ribosomal RNA". It matches the Rfam family "Bacterial small subunit ribosomal RNA", at positions 523 to 796 of the family's 1533-position model. The record is from RNAcentral.